Long non-coding RNA from Strongylocentrotus purpuratus (purple sea urchin), 475 nucleotides. RefSeq lists it as uncharacterized. The transcript has 3 exons. The record is from RefSeq and is a predicted model, not a curated record. NCBI's taxonomy places the organism in Eukaryota, Metazoa, Echinodermata, Echinoidea, Camarodonta, Strongylocentrotidae.
UCAUUUGCACUAUAGAGCGUCUAUAAUGUAAGUGAUAGGCCUAUGAAUGAAUUUUUUAUUUGAUCAUUUAUUACUCUCUCUUUCAUUUGUUUCAGCCAUCGCCAUAUCAGACUUUUUUCGUACACAUUACUUCGAUCAUCAUGCCACGAGUGAUGCCAGCCGCAUUUCGAUGUCUCUGUAACACGCAGAAGGGGCACCGAUGCAAAAGGAAGACAAGGCACCCAACAAGAAUAUGCCACCAACAUCGGAGAAACUUCGCCGACGAUGCCGCAAUGGAAGCUUUCAUCAAUAUCCGACCCCGUCGAUGUUUGGCGAUGACUUUAAGAGCCGCCCAAUGUAAACGUAAUGGAAUUUUCGUUUUCGGCAACGCAUUGCAUGAUUACUGCAUGCAACAUUGUAAGUAUAAUCAUUAAUCUAAAUGGUGGACAUGUCAUCGAUUUCAUUACAGUUGUGUUUAUGGUGGGUUUUUUUUUUG